This 467-nucleotide ribosomal RNA is filed under the name uncultured bacterium. RNAcentral describes it as "partial 16S ribosomal RNA". It matches the Rfam family "Bacterial small subunit ribosomal RNA", at positions 29 to 507 of the family's 1533-position model. The record is from RNAcentral.
ACGAACGCUGGCGGCGUGCUUAACACAUGCCAGUCGAACGGAAAGGCCCUGCUUUUGUGGGGUGCUCGAGUGGCGAACGGGUGAGUAACACGUGAGUAACCUGCCCUUGACUUUGGGAUAACUUCAGGAAACUGGGGCUAAUACCGGAUAGGAGCUCCUGCUGCAUGGUGGGGGUUGGAAAGUUUCGGCGGUUGGGGAUGGACUCGCGGCUUAUCAGCUUGUUGGUGGGGUAGUGGCUUACCAAGGCUUUGACGGGUAGCCGGCCUGAGAGGGUGAACGGCCACAUUGGGACUGAGAUACGGCCCAGACUCCUACGGGAGGCAGCAGUGGGGAAUAUUGCACAAUGGGCGGAAGCCUGAUGCAGCAACGCCGCGUGCGGGAUGACGGCCUUCGGGUUGUAAACCGCUUUCGCCUGUGACGAAGCGUGAGUGACGGUAAUGGGUAAAGAAGCACCGGCUAACUACGUG